CCUUGUGGUUGGUGUACAGGUGGUGCAUGGCUGUCGUCAGCUCGUGUCGUGAGAUGUUGGGUUAAGUCCCGCAACGAGCGCAACCCUUGUCCUGUAUUGCCAGCGGGUUAUGCCGGGGACUUGCGGGAGACUGCCGGGGUCAACUCGGAGGAAGGUGGGGAUGACGUCAAGUCAUCAUGCCCCUUAUGUCCAGGGCUUCACACAUGC
RNAcentral lists this ribosomal RNA (207 nucleotides) under uncultured Gordonia sp. RNAcentral's name for it is "partial 16S ribosomal RNA". It matches the Rfam family "Bacterial small subunit ribosomal RNA", at positions 1014 to 1225 of the family's 1533-position model. The record is from RNAcentral. Lineage: Bacteria; Bacillati; Actinomycetota; Actinomycetes; Mycobacteriales; Gordoniaceae.